AUCUACUGCCACACCACUGUAAACACACUAUCUCAUCUGAUCUCACAAGCUAAGCAGGGUUAGGCUUGGUUAGUAUUGGGAAGGGAGAAAUGAAUGCAGAACAGU
Molecule: ribosomal RNA, 105 nt
Filed under: Vicugna pacos (alpaca)
Lineage: Eukaryota; Metazoa; Chordata; Mammalia; Artiodactyla; Camelidae
Source: RNAcentral